GUGGGAGGGGGCUUGCUCCCGAUUGCGGUAGGUCAGUCAACUUAUCUGUAACUGAUACACCGCUAUCGGGAGCAAGCCCCCUCCUAC
This 87-nucleotide unclassified non-coding RNA is filed under the name Pseudomonas marginalis. Lineage: Bacteria; Pseudomonadati; Pseudomonadota; Gammaproteobacteria; Pseudomonadales; Pseudomonadaceae. The record is from RNAcentral.